GACCUCGAACUGGUAACCGACCACCGCAACGGAGUCUCCAACUGGCAAUCCCUGCACAAAUACACGACCGACGCUGAGAUCUCAUUGAUGAGGUAUCGUGUGAGCGUUGAAAUUAUCAACAAUGGAGGAUAACCUCUCAAGAAUCACAGCAGCUUCAAGAGCAUGAAUCGACCAAGCUUUCUUGAGCUCUUUUGAGGCAGCGCAGAUCGAUGAACCAGCGGAGUAAUGAACCACGAUCGAGCGAAACGUUCCAAGAAGCAUCCAUAUUGAGCUUCCAGACGUUUUCUGGCGGAGGAGACCUACGAACAGACUCGGUGGGAUCUCUCUCGAAACUGACUUCAGGUUGCAUGUAGAAUCAUUCAAGCUCGACAUGAUCAAUUUUG
Molecule: long non-coding RNA, 383 nt
Organism: Cucurbita pepo subsp. pepo (vegetable marrow)
Lineage: Eukaryota; Viridiplantae; Streptophyta; Magnoliopsida; Cucurbitales; Cucurbitaceae
Source: RefSeq, a predicted model, not a curated record